Molecule: ribosomal RNA, 464 nt
Filed under: uncultured archaeon
Lineage: Archaea
Description: bacterial SSU rRNA
Rfam family: Archaeal small subunit ribosomal RNA
Source: RNAcentral
CCGCGAAUUCGCCCUUCGGGGUGCACCAGGCGCGAAUACUUUGCAAUGUUGGAAACCGUGAUAGGGUUACCCCGAGUGCCACCCGAUAAGGGGUGCUUUUCGGUUGUCUAAAAACGUGUCGAAAUAAGGGGGGGGCAAGACUGGUGUCCGCCGCCGCGGUAAUACCAGCCCCUCCAGUGGUCAGGACUAUUAUUUGGCCUAAAGCGUCCGUAGCCGGGCAUAUUCUUCCUCCGUUAAAUCCAGCCGCUCAACAGUUGGGCUGCCGAAGAUACUAUGUGUCUCUAAGGCGGGAGAGGUGAGCGAUAUUCUCUGGGUAGGGGUAAAAUCCUUUGAUCCUUUGAAGACCACCACUGGAGAAGGUGGCUUCGCCAAACACGCUCUACAGUGAGGGAUGAAAUCUGGGGGAGCAAACCGGAUUAUUAUCCCGGGUGGUCCCCCCUGUAAACAAUGACGAUCUCUUGAUG